This is a small nuclear RNA of Choloepus hoffmanni (Hoffmann's two-fingered sloth), 104 nucleotides long. NCBI's taxonomy places the organism in Eukaryota, Metazoa, Chordata, Mammalia, Pilosa, Megalonychidae. The record is from Ensembl.
UUGCUUUUGUGUCAAGUAUAUUAAAAUUGAAAUGAUGCAGAGAAGAUGAGCUCUGUUCCCUGAGCAAAUAAGAUACACAAAUUUGUGAACUGUUCCAUAUAUUU